This 372-nucleotide ribosomal RNA is filed under the name uncultured bacterium. Its description in RNAcentral is "bacterial SSU rRNA". It matches the Rfam family "Bacterial small subunit ribosomal RNA", at positions 119 to 507 of the family's 1533-position model. The record is from RNAcentral.
GAGGAACCUGCCUUUCAGAGGGGGACAACAGUUGGAAACGACUGCUAAUACCGCAUAACGCAUAGGUAUCGCAUGGUACAGAUGCCAAAGAUUUAUCGCUGAGAGAUGGCCUCGCGUCUGAUUAGCUAGUUGGUAGGGUAACGGCCUACCAAGGCGACGAUCAGUAGCCGGACUGAGAGGUUGGCCGGCCACAUUGGGACUGAGAUACGGCCCAGACUCCUACGGGAGGCAGCAGUGGGGAAUAUUGGGCAAUGGGCGCAAGCCUGACCCAGCAACGCCGCGUGAAGGAAGAAGGCUUUCGGGUUGUAAACUUCUUUUGUCAGGGAAGAGCAGAAGACGGUACCUGACGAAUAAGCCACGGCUAACUACGUG